AUUUUUAUUUAUAUAGUUUAUAAAAACAUUACAUUUUCAUUGUAAAAUUAAAUAUCUCUUUUUAUAA
RNAcentral lists this transfer RNA (67 nucleotides) under Sulabanus sp. UPOL A00075. RNAcentral's name for it is "tRNA-Glu". RNAcentral also lists the same sequence under 1 other name. Lineage: Eukaryota; Metazoa; Arthropoda; Insecta; Coleoptera; Lycidae. The record is from RNAcentral.